RNAcentral lists this ribosomal RNA (2035 nucleotides) under Micrapoderiger minutissimus. RNAcentral describes it as "bacterial SSU rRNA". It matches the Rfam family "Eukaryotic small subunit ribosomal RNA". The record is from RNAcentral. Lineage: Eukaryota; Metazoa; Arthropoda; Insecta; Coleoptera; Staphylinidae.
AGUAAUGGUAGGCUCAUUUCGAGGGCUAAGCCAUGCAAGUGCAAGUACGCUUGCUAUCAAGCUUAACCGCGCGAGCCUCGAGCCUUCCUAGGACCGAGGACCAUCCGCAGUUAACGUCAGUCCAAGUCGACUGCGUACGGCUCAGUAGACUCGUCAUAAUGGACGUUGGUAGAAUCGUAUCAACGAGCUAUUUGGAUAACGGUGACAAAUUUAGCGCUAAUACACAAAUAAUGUCAUUAGUUAUCAAUAGGCAGCAUAUAAUAGCUGUUUAACUUGGCUGCAGUCUGGGAGAGCUAAACUUGUAUGAUGAGGGGGUGACCAGAGAGAGAGUUUAAAACCGGUAGUACGGGUCUCUCUUCUCUUCUCUCUUCUCUGUACAUAUAGCAAUCCCGGAGAGGGACUGUAGUUGGAUCUUGUCGUUCAUUAAGACAAGACGCCUCAACACCGGAGGCGAGCUUAUCAGGCCUGAUGCGCGCAUCAGGUUCUUGCCUAGCUGUUACGAGUAACGGGGUAUCAGGGUACGAUACCGGAGAGGGAGCCUUAAAAACGGCUACCACUACCAAGGAAGGCAGCAGGCGCGCAACUUACCCAAUACCGACACGGUGAGGUAGUAAAAAGGAGUGACAUUGCGAAGAUCCUCUCGAGAGGCUUCGUUAUUGGAUUGACAACAAUCCAAAUACAAUAAGAAGUUACUGGAGGGCAAGUCUGGUGCCAGCAGCCGCGGUAAUUCCAGCUCCAGUGGCCUACGUUAAUUUUGCUGCGGUUAAAAAGCUCGUAGUCAAGUUUGCGUUUGGUCGCGUCGGCAGUAUGAUUCUAAGGAAUCGCUCUGGCGCGCCGAACGUCAGGUCCGGAGCGUGCGAUCGAACUGUUUGCCUUGCGCAUUCAGUUUAAUUGAUCGGACAACGGACCAUAUUACUUUAAGCAAAUUAGAGUGUUCAAAGCAGGUCAGGAGUGUCCUGUAUAGAGUUGUAUGGAAUAGUAUAAAAGGAUUAAGAACCUGCCCGACUAGCUCUCGGGUGACGGCUGGACGGCUGGGGGCAUCCGUAUUGCGGCCCGAGAGGUGAAAUUCUGAGACCGUCGCAGGACGACCUACAGCGAAAGCAUUUGCCAAAAACGUCUCCUUCGAUCAAGAACGAAAGUCAGAGGCCCGAAGGCGAUUAGAUACCGCCCUAGUUCUGACCUUAAACGAUGUUAACCAGUUAUCCGCCAUAGUAUAGAAUACUUGGUGGGCAGCUUCCGGGAAACCUAGAGUGUUUCAGUUCCGGGGGUAGUAUGGUUGCAAAGCUGAAACUUAAAGGAAUUGACGGAAGGGUAUCACUAGGUGUGGAGCCUGCGGCUUAAUUUGACUCAACACGGGUAACCUCAUCAGGUCCGGACAUGAUUGCGAUGGACAGAUUAAUAGCUCUUUCUAGAUCUCAUGGAUGGUGGUGCAUGGCCGUUCUUAGUUCGUGGAUCGAUUUGUCUGGUUAAUUCCGAUAACGAGCGAGACUCUACCUUACUAACUAAGACGUACGAUAUACACGAGGUCUGUUGUUGUAUGCGUUGCUGCUCUAUAUACUUCGCUACUCCUAUACGGGGUCACACCCUUCACCGGGUGCCGUCUAGUUGUAUGUGUUGUGUAUGUGUUGGCGCGUUACGGCACGGUCCAUACUAUCGGCGCAAAUGUCUUCUUCUUAGAAGAACAAGCUAUAUAUAGUAGCACGAGAGAGAGCAAUAACAGGUCUGUGAUGCCCUUAGAUGUCCUGGGCCGCACGCGUGCGACAAUGAAAGAGUCAAUAGGUAUCCUAGGCCGAAAUGUCUGGGUAAUCCUAGCAAUCUCUUUCGUGUUGGGGAUUGGGGCUUGAAAGUGCUUCCCAUGAACGAGGAAUACCCAGUAAGCGUAGUUGAUCAAUCUACGCUGAUUGAGUCCCUGCCCUUUGUACAUACCGCCCGUCGCUACUACCGAUGAGCGGGCUAGCGAGAUCUUCGGACCGGCACCUCGAAAGAGGUCGUUACCGGAAAGUCGAUCAAACUUGCCCGUUUAGAGGAAGUAAAA